CGGGUUGGGUUUAGAGGUUGCCGUUGACAGAUUUACCACCGUCGACGCAGAUGACUUGGCCAUUGAUGUAGCAAGCAGCAGGGAGGCACAAGAAAGCCACCACAGCUGACACCUCCUCCGACUCGGCCACGCGCCCGAGAGGGAUGCGGUACGUCUCCUUCGCCACGAACUCCUCGAUCGCAAGCAACUGUGUUGGGGACGCAAACAUUUAAGUUUGGAAUCCAGGCAUUUCAUCAACUAGGUGGUGGCGGAGGAGGUCAUUACCGGUUCCAUGAGAGGGGUUCUAACGGAGCCGGGCGCGACGCAGUUGGUCCGGAUGUUGUCCUUCGCCCACUCGCAGGCCAGGCUCCUGGUGAGCUGGUUCAGCGCCGCUGGAGAAGAGCAAGCGAGAGUCAAGUUGCUGGAGAUCUCGAAGAGCUCCAAGAGCUCGACGAGUAAUCGAGUACGUACCUUUAGUUGCUCCGUAGAUGGUUAUGUUGUCAAUGCCGACGAUGCCGGCGAGCGAGGAGACGUUGACGAUGGUGCCUGCUCCUGAUGCCUUGAGCAGGGGGUGGGCGAGCUGGGUCAGGUGGAACGCAGACUCCAGGUUGGUGCUCAUCAUAAACUUGUACUCGUCAGGGGUUAUGGCCACCAUCGGCUUCACAAACCCCGUCCCUGCGUUGUUGACCUACACGACGAGCACAACAAGUUCACAAGCAGCUCAAAUCACGAGUGGAGAUCUUUUUGUCGCUCACCAGGAUACUGAGCUUUCCGCCGAAGGUGGACUUGACGUCCUCCAUUAGCUUCUCUCGAUCAGCUUGGCACGAGACAUCGCAGACGGAGCCUGUGACCUUAAAGUUCUUCGCCCCCCAUUCUUUCAAGCACUUGUUGAGCUCUGCUUCGUUUCGGGAGCAGGUGUGGAUGGCUGCUCCGAAUCUAGCUAGUUCCUCGACUAUGGCAUACCUGGAAGGCGGACAACAGAGCUCAGUUCAUGGUGGCCGAUCACGAACAAGAAAAUAAACCCUGCAGCUGCUAGAGAGAUGUAGACAUGA
RNAcentral lists this long non-coding RNA (1031 nucleotides) under Musa acuminata (dwarf banana). RNAcentral describes it as "long non-coding RNA (MACU_LNC006803)". Lineage: Eukaryota; Viridiplantae; Streptophyta; Magnoliopsida; Zingiberales; Musaceae. The record is from RNAcentral.